This 243-nucleotide ribosomal RNA is filed under the name uncultured bacterium. RNAcentral's name for it is "partial 16S ribosomal RNA". It matches the Rfam family "Bacterial small subunit ribosomal RNA", at positions 57 to 305 of the family's 1533-position model. The record is from RNAcentral.
GCAAGUCGAGCGAGAAAGCACUUCGGUGCGAGUAAAGCGGCGGACGGGUGAGUAACGCGUAGGAAUCUACCCAGUAGUGGGGGACAACUCGAGGAAACUCGAGCUAAUACCGCAUACGCCCUAAGGGGGAAAGCGGGGGAUCUUCGGACCUCGUGCUAUCGGAUGAGCCUGCGUAGGAUUAGCUAGUUGGUGAGGUAAAGGCUCACCAAGGCGACGAUCCUUAGCUGGUCUGAGAGGAUGAUC